UCGUCGUUCCGCCAAGUUCGUAAGAAAGAUAGUGGGGGUUUUCCUUUUAUGGCUUCCGGAACAUCUUCAGUCUUCUGACUUACUGCCCGUACAUGCCAUCUCUCCUGAAUGCCUUAUGGCGCAUUCUGCCGUCCGGCUUUCG
RNAcentral lists this non-coding RNA (142 nucleotides) under Salmonella enterica subsp. enterica serovar Napoli. The record is from RNAcentral. Lineage: Bacteria; Pseudomonadati; Pseudomonadota; Gammaproteobacteria; Enterobacterales; Enterobacteriaceae.